RNAcentral lists this ribosomal RNA (440 nucleotides) under uncultured bacterium. Its description in RNAcentral is "partial 16S ribosomal RNA". It matches the Rfam family "Bacterial small subunit ribosomal RNA", at positions 338 to 795 of the family's 1533-position model. The record is from RNAcentral.
CCUACGGGAGGCAGCAGUAGGGAAUUUUCGUCAAUGGGCGCAAGCCUGAACGAGCGAUGCCGCGUGAGUGAAGAAGGCCUUCGGGUCGUAAAGCCCUGUCAGCAGGGAAGAAAAUGACGGUACCUGAAGAAGAAGCCCCGGCUAACUACGUGCCAGCAGCCGCGGUAAUACGUAGGGGGCAAGCGUUAUCCGGAUUUACUGGGUGUAAAGGGGGCGCAGACGGCGAUGCAAGCCAGGAGUGAAAGCCCGGGGCCCAACCCCGGGACUGCUCUUGGAACUGCGUGGCUAGAGUGCAGGAGGGGCAGGCGGAAUUCCUGGUGUAGCGGUGAAAUGCGUAGAUAUCAGGAGGAACACCGGUGGCGAAGGCGGCCUGCUGGACUGCAACUGACGUUGAGGCCCGAAAGCGUGGGGAGCAAACAGGAUUAGAUACCCCGGUAGUC